This 33-nucleotide ribosomal RNA is filed under the name Ophiostoma pluriannulatum. Its description in RNAcentral is "partial 28S ribosomal RNA". The record is from RNAcentral. Lineage: Eukaryota; Fungi; Ascomycota; Sordariomycetes; Ophiostomatales; Ophiostomataceae.
GGUUGACCUCGAAUCAGGUAGGACUACCCGCUG